This 575-nucleotide ribosomal RNA is filed under the name Hypsolebias carlettoi. RNAcentral describes it as "partial 16S ribosomal RNA". It matches the Rfam family "Bacterial large subunit ribosomal RNA", at positions 1809 to 2606 of the family's 2925-position model. Lineage: Eukaryota; Metazoa; Chordata; Actinopteri; Cyprinodontiformes; Rivulidae. The record is from RNAcentral.
AAAAACAUCGCCUCUUGAAUAAAAUCAUAAGAGGUCCUGCCUGCCCAGUGACACAAGUUUAACGGCCGCGGUAUUUUGACCGUGCGAAGGUAGCGUAAUCAGUCGUCUUUUAAAUGAAGGCUUGUAUGAAUGGUAAUACGAAAACUCAACUGUCUCACUCUUUUAACCAAUGAAAUUGAUUUCUCCGUGCGGAAGCGGGGAUGAAAACAUAAGACAAAAAGACCCUGUGGAGCUUCAGAUUAACUCAGCUUAGACUUUUAUAAAUAUUUCUUAUAAUAAAAUUUUAACCCUGAUAACAUCUUAGAUUGGGGCGAUCACGGAGAAAAUAUACCCUCCACGAAGAAAAAUAUAUAUUUUUAUAAUCAAGAGCUACCGCUCUAAGCACUAAAAUAUUUAACUUUAUGAUCCGGCUUGCCGAAUAACGAAUCCAGUUACCCCAGGGAUAACAGCGCAAUCCCCUUAAAGAGCACGUAUCACCAAGGGGGCUUACGACCUCGAUGUUGGAUCAGGGCAUCCUAGUGGCGCAUCCACUAUUAAGGGUUCGUUUGUUCAACGAUUAAAGCCCUACGUGAUCU